GAUGAAGUGCAUGCUGAACAGGAUUUGUUGACAUUUCAGGACUGUGGGUCACGCGGGUGUCGCCACAGGCCAAUCACCAUGGAAACACAUUUGGUGGACAGAUCAUGGCCUGGAUGGAAUACGUGGCUACAGUAGCAGCCAGUCGUUUGUGUGGUUACUAUCCUCCCCUCGGAGCUGUGGACAUGUUUCGAUUCCAGACUGGUGUUUAAAGCGAUGGUCAAUAAUGCCUUUCAGACCAGUGUGGAGGAUGGUGUUCGGGUGGAGGUGUAUAACUGUGAGGAGUGGAAUGAGGAGAGACCAAGACACAUAAACAGUGCCUCCAUGAUUUAUUACAUCCCAGGACGUGACGCUGAGAAACAGAAGUUUCCUGAUGUCACCUACACAGCGCUUGGUAUUUGGGGUUUAACAACGUGGCAGCUCUCACAGUCUUGGCUGGGAAGCUAGUAACAUCAAUGAUAAGACCUGCGGUUAGGGCCACAGUGGGACAAAAACUAUCUGAGCUGUGAAGAGUUUGAGAAAGCAGAUGAGGAGGAAACCAUUUAUCACAUUAAAUGCACCACAGUCAAAGGAAGCACAAAUCAGGAUUUCGUGGUUCUGUUGUCUGCAAAGAUGGGUAUGAUUCCAGUGCUACCAUGAGUGUGAGUUUUGGAUAAAUCUUAAUCUUAAUCUUAUA
This is a long non-coding RNA of Cyprinus carpio carpio, 673 nucleotides long. Lineage: Eukaryota; Metazoa; Chordata; Actinopteri; Cypriniformes; Cyprinidae. The record is from Ensembl.